RNAcentral lists this ribosomal RNA (396 nucleotides) under uncultured bacterium. Its description in RNAcentral is "partial 16S ribosomal RNA". It matches the Rfam family "Bacterial small subunit ribosomal RNA", at positions 523 to 917 of the family's 1533-position model. The record is from RNAcentral.
CUACGUAGGGGGCGAGCGUUGUCCGGAAUGAUUGGGCGUAAAGGGCGCGUAGGCGGCCCGGUAAGUCUGGAGUGAAAGUCCUGUUUUUAAGAUGGGAAUUGCUUUGGAUACUGUCGGGCUUGAGUGCAGGAGAGGUAAGUGGAAUUCCCAGUGUAGCGGUGAAAUGCGUAGAGAUUGGGAGGAACACCAGUGGCGAAGGCGACUUACUGGACUGUAACUGACGCUGAGGCGCGAAAGUGUGGGGAGCAAACAGGAUUAGAUACCCUGGUAGUCCACACUGUAAACGAUGAAUGCUAGGUGUAGGGGGUAUCGACCCCUUCUGUGCCGCAGUCAACACAAUAAGCAUUCCGCCUGGGGAGUACGGCCGCAAGGUUGAAACUCAAAUGAAUUGACGGG